GCGGUUAAAAUAAAUCCUUCGACUUCAGGAGCAGUGUCUGAAGAGGUUGAACGUUGGAUAAAAAGAUACUUUCAACUUUCCGGUGAUCGAAAUGGCGGCCGUAAAGCUCGGGAAGAUCUUAAAAAUUCGUUGCAAAAAUAAAUAUUUGAUUCAUUCAACGUUUUUGUUUUUAUUAUUUCAUUAUUAAUUAAAACACUUUUGGUUUACAAUAAAUUUCAAAUAUACUUAUUUGUUUGAAUUUUAUGGAAUAACACAUUUUCACGGAAACGGCUAAUAAUAACGUGCUAGUGUAUGUAGUAAAAGUAUCUAGUAAAAAGUAACGCUUUAGAGCUGACACGCAAACACGAAAGAUUGUUGGAAAAUGAUCACGGAUCAGUACUGUCAACAGAUGCUGGCAAGCGAUCGCGGGCCAGUGCUGGCAAAUAAUCGCAGGCCAGUGCUGGCGAACCAUUGCGGGCCAAUACUGGCCCAUGGCUAGCGGGCCAGUGCUGGCCCAAUGGCCGUUUUGAUGCAGGCCCGUGAUCGACGGCCGUCAUCGCGCCGUAGUCGCAAGCGGAACUGGGCCAGCAUUGGGCCGCUAGCGGCAGGCUGUCUGGGCUGUUUCAGUUUGGUCGAUAUUUUUUUUAAAACAAUUUAAGAAGUAUUUGUUUUAUUUUUUAGAGCAGUUAAGAGGAGCUGAUCGCUUUUAUUAAAGAAGUUAAAACUAAAUUGACUGAGCAGUUAAGAGGAACUGAUCGCUUUUUUAGUA
Hydra vulgaris (swiftwater hydra) is the source of this 748-nucleotide long non-coding RNA. RefSeq lists it as uncharacterized. Lineage: Eukaryota; Metazoa; Cnidaria; Hydrozoa; Anthoathecata; Hydridae. The record is from RefSeq and is a predicted model, not a curated record.